GACAGAGGGUGCGAACGUUACUCGGAAUCACUGGACGUAAAGCGCGUGUAGGCAGACAGGAAAGUCAGGUGUGAAAUCCCUGGGCUCAACCUAGGAACUGCAUCUGAAACUUCCUGUCUAGAGUGUCGGAGAGGGAAGCGGAAUUCCUGGUGUAGAGGUGAAAUUCGUAGAUAUCAGGAGGAACACCGGUGGCGAAAACGGUUUCCUGGACGGCUACUGACGCUGAGACGCGAAAGUGUGGAGAGCAAACAGG
This 253-nucleotide unclassified non-coding RNA is filed under the name uncultured Sandaracinaceae bacterium. RNAcentral's name for it is "contains 16S-23S intergenic spacer region". It matches the Rfam family "Bacterial small subunit ribosomal RNA", at positions 524 to 776 of the family's 1533-position model. The record is from RNAcentral. Lineage: Bacteria; Pseudomonadati; Myxococcota; Polyangiales; Sandaracinaceae.